Molecule: ribosomal RNA, 418 nt
Filed under: uncultured bacterium
Lineage: Bacteria
Description: bacterial SSU rRNA
Rfam family: Bacterial small subunit ribosomal RNA
Source: RNAcentral
GGAAUAUUGGUCAAUGGACGAUAGUCUGAACCAGCCAAGUCGCGUGCGGGAUGAAGGCCCUCCGGGUCGUAAACCGCUUUAGCCGGGGAGUAACGUGCGGCACGUGUUCCGCAGUGAGCGUACCCGGAGAAUAAGCAUCGGCUAACUCCGUGCCAGCAGCCGCGGUAAUACGGAGGAUGCGAGCGUUAUCCGGAUUUAUUGGGUUUAAAGGGUGCGCAGGCGGCAGUUCAAGUCAGCGGUCAAAAUUCGGGGCUCAACCCCGUCUCGCCGUUGAAACUGUGCUGCUCGAGUUCGUGCGAGGAUGGCGGAAUGCGCGGUGUAGCGGUGAAAUGCAUAGAUAUCGCGCAGAACCCCGAUUGCGAAGGCAGCUGUCCAGCACGCGACUUACGCUCAUGCACGAAAGCGUGGGUAUCGAACA